AUGCGGUUUAUCUCAAGCUUAGUUUGGUAUUGAAAUCUAUCUGACGUUAUUAGAUAAAAUAAAAUUAUGAUAAAAAUAUAUAGGAAUAUAUUUCUGUGUUUUUCGAUAGGACCGUAAAAAAUAUAUUAUAACCGUCUGCGGAAAGUAAUAUUAUGUACAAAAAUAAACAAGAUAUUUUUUCAUCAUACUUUCUCGCCGCACGUAACGCAAUCUCCCCGCAAUCUCAAACGAAGCCCCACUCAAUUGCCACAAUGCUAGCCCAAACAAUUCCUCACUUAUCUUAAGCAGUACAAUUUAAUGAACGGUUGGUCGGGUUCAAGCAAAGUCUCGUUGCCCACGAACUUAUCGGGCCUGGUUAAGAACAGGCCUGUAAAACCUUAAUGGGCCGCCUCAUCUAGUAACAUAGCAGUAGUAUACUUGUAUUUGUUG
This 429-nucleotide long non-coding RNA is filed under the name Ananas comosus (pineapple). RNAcentral describes it as "long non-coding RNA (ACOM_LNC006304)". Lineage: Eukaryota; Viridiplantae; Streptophyta; Magnoliopsida; Poales; Bromeliaceae. The record is from RNAcentral.